Molecule: ribosomal RNA, 252 nt
Filed under: uncultured bacterium
Lineage: Bacteria
Description: partial 16S ribosomal RNA
Rfam family: Bacterial small subunit ribosomal RNA
Source: RNAcentral
UACGGGGGGGGCAAGCGUUGUUCGGAAUUACUGGGCGUAAAGGGCUCGUAGGCGGCCAACUAGGCGGACGGGAAAUCCCCAGGCUCAACCUGGGAACUGCGUCCGAUACUGGAUGGCUUGGAUCCGGGAGAGGGAUGCAGAAUUCCAGGUGUAGCGGUGAAAUGCGUAGAUAUCUGGAGGAAUACCGGUGGCGAAGGCGGCAUCCUGGACCGGCAUUGACGCUGAGGAGCGAAAGCCAGGGGAGCAAACGGG